This is a non-coding RNA of Salvia hispanica, 467 nucleotides long. The record is from RefSeq and is a predicted model, not a curated record. Lineage: Eukaryota; Viridiplantae; Streptophyta; Magnoliopsida; Lamiales; Lamiaceae.
CGCGCAUCCCCAUCGCCUCCCAUAAGGAUACAACCCAUCGUCAUUGCUCAGAUUACCUAUACCGAGACCUGGCCAAGUUCUGGGCAUCGUGGGACGAAAUGGCAUUGGGAAAUCCACUGCCAUCCAACUUUUAUCUGGGAGGAUCAAACCUAACUUGGGACGCUUUGAUGCAUCCAUCAAGCCCCAGCACAUCAAUCGCAUCCCUAACCUUCUUCAAGGCAAUCGCAAGCCUAAAGUAAUCCAAGGCAAAAUUGGCGCUAAAGUUAUUCUACUUUACCGCAACGUUGGCCAAUUUCUUACUCAGGCAGAUGAGAGAAAUAUGAACAGGAACUUGCAGCUGACCUUGACUUGAUUCAUGUUAUGGACCGUAAUGUGGGAAAUUUAUCGGGUGGAGAGCUUCAGAAGUUUGCAAUACUCUACGUAAUGCAGAUAUCUAUUUGUUUGAUGAACCAUCGGGCUAUCUUGAU